GGCGGGUUCUCAAUCUUCUAGGGCAGUGAAUACACGUCUGCUCCCGUUCAGGCCAGUUUUAAUUAUUUAAUUUUUUGGAUUUAUCUGCAUGCUAUAAUCUUAAUUAUUUGAUAAUUUUCCAACAACCUCCCAUACCAGAUCCGGAUAACUCGCUCCGGCGACCUUGAGACCAUCGGGAGUUUAAUUAUGGUUAUAAUGGAAGCGCAAAGGAAAGCAACACCUAACAUGCAACGCGAAGAUGUAUUUGCUGUUCAGUCUGUUGUCACCUUCGCGGGAGGCGCUAUGAAGGACAUUACUCAUGAUAUGGUAAUUUAAACAAAAAUAUAGACCCAAUGGCUUUGCUUUUCUUCGUUAUGCCACCGAAUCAAAACUUUGUUAGCCUGGAGUGCUAGAAGGCACUAUGGUCGCCGCAUGCCCGCACAUCCUUUUGGGUGAAUGUAUUAUUUAUGUAUACAAUUUAUGUAAGCAAUUUAUGUAUCGCUCUAGUAUUUUGGUGAAUGUAUUAUUUGAAUAUAAUUAGAUUUGAUAUUGGAAUAUAAUUAGAUUGUGUUG
Molecule: long non-coding RNA, 552 nt
Organism: Asparagus officinalis (garden asparagus)
Lineage: Eukaryota; Viridiplantae; Streptophyta; Magnoliopsida; Asparagales; Asparagaceae
Exons: 2
Source: RefSeq, a predicted model, not a curated record